Molecule: ribosomal RNA, 293 nt
Filed under: uncultured bacterium
Lineage: Bacteria
Description: partial 16S ribosomal RNA
Rfam family: Bacterial small subunit ribosomal RNA
Source: RNAcentral
GGAUUAGAUACCCUGGUAGUCCUUGCCGUAAACGAUGCAUACUUGGUGUAGUUGGACUCAACCCCGACUGUGCCGUAGCUAACGCGUUAAGUAUGCCACCUGGGGAGUACGCCCGCAAGGGUGAAACUCAAAAGAAUUGACGGGGGCCCGCACAAGCAGUGGAGCAUGUGGUUUAAUUCGAUGCAACGCGAAGAACCUUACCCAGGCUUGACAUGUUUAGGACCGCACUAGAGAUAGUGUUUCCCGCAAGGGCCUUUACACAGGUGCUGCAUGGCUGUCGUCAGCUCGUGUCG